AUACAGACGGCAGGAGAGAAAAGUAAGCGGUUGUAUGAUCGGACUGCUAGAGAAGCCCCUCUACUGCCAGGAGAGAGGGUGUUGGUGAGAGAUAAUCGGCGGCAGGGGAAGGGGAAACUGAGUGACCGUUGGGAGGCCACCCCUUAUGUAGUCUGCCGGCAGCAGAGGCCGGGACAGCCGGUCUAUACCAUCCGGCCAGAAGGGAAGUCAGGCCCCGACCGUGUGGUGCACCGGAACAUGAUUCGCCCAUGCCCUAACUACCCUGAAGCCGUGGAAGAAGUCCCCACGGAACCUGUACCAGCGGCCCCCUGGAUUGAAGGUUGGGCUGUGGUACCAGGGAGACCCGUGGUGGCACCACCCCCGAUCGCCCCGAGAGAACCAGAAGCAGCCCCUGAACAAGCUGAGCCCGAUUCACCAGUGAGACGAUCCCAGCGAGAGAACCGAGGCCGACCCCCUGCCCGCUAUGGUGAGUGGACAGCCCGAGGACGUUCUAGGGACUAGAACGGAUUGGCGGGGGAGGAUGUCACAAGGUGACGAUCUUUAGGGGCGGAACCAAAAUUCGGGAAGUUUGGUUCCGCCCGGGAGUGUUUCCGCCCGGACCGGAAAAACAGAACACCGGAACUUCCGGUAGCGCCGUAAGAGGGAAAAUCAGGGAAUUCGAUGCACCUGUGCCUAGUUAGGGACAGCGGUUGGUGAUUGGAGGAUACGCUGGACAAGGCAGUACUUAAGGCCAAGUUAUUUCACAGUCUGGGAGCUCUUUCUGGCUGGAAUUGUAUGAUUGUGAAGACAUCGCGAACCUUAAAGGUUGAGAAGUGAACGGAUUAUUCGGCGAAUUGAGACGACGUGAAAAAGGGGAUUGGAAGCGGCAUUGAUGUGAGUACUAAGAGCAAGCCGAAAGUGCCCUGUAUAUUGACCUGGCGUUGUGUAGAUCUCCCCAGGAGGUGGAGGGCGGCCCUACCCCUAAUAUAGCGUGGUGGGAGAGCCGAAGGAAUACUUAUUGAAGUAGUCACAACGACGACAUCACUAGCUAGGCCGCAUAUUCCAUCGCCAGAUCCGAACCAAGCGAAGUGAAGGAAGACGGGUGUCCUUUUCGUACACUGAGUGUGGUGGGUGAGUCUUCGUGCUGUGAAAACCUAUAAUUUUGACGUGGUGCUGUAUAUUGCUGUGGGUUGCUGUGUAUUGCCGUGUGUCCUGUCAGAUAAACCCCCGCCUUCACGCACUCCGCCGCGGGAGGACAAGGAGACUGCUGGUUCUAGCCUAGUUCAGUACAGUAUAUGUUGUGAGCGUGCUUCAGAUCUCCGGAGAUAGCACAGUACGCUGUGUUCAGCCCAGAGGUGAGAGCCAUUCAAAGCAAACUAACUGUGCUUUGUGUCCAAUCUGAUACCUGCGGAGAGAAAAGGAAAGAGAGAGUGAGUAACACAAGGAGAAACAGAGGAAACCUGUACUUACAGUACGCUGUGUUCAGCCCAGAGGUGAGAGCCAUUCAAAGCAAACUAACUGUGCUAUUGUGCCCAAGUUGAUACCUGUGGAGAGAAAAGGAGAGAGAGUGAAUAACACGAGGAGGAAUAGAGCGAACCCUGUACUUACAGUACGUUGUGUCCAGCCCAGAGGUGAAAGCCAUCCAAAGCAGAGUAACUGUGUUUUGUGUCCAAGUUGAUACCUGUAGAGAGGAGGAGAGAGAGUGGAUAACGCGAGGAGAAAUAGAGUGAAACCUGUACUUACAGUACGCUGUGUCCAGCCCAGAGGUGAGAGCCAUUCAAAGCAAACUAACUGUGCUAUUGUGCCCAAGUUGAUACCUGUGGAGAGAAAAAAAAGGAGAGAGAGUGGGUAACACGAGGAGAGACCGAGGAAACCUGUACUUACGCCGAUGCCUGUGGAGAAAGAGAAAGCGAGUGAGCACCCAAGGAACGAACUGUGUGAACCAGUACUUACUGUGAGCUGAAAUCAGUGAAGAGGUGAGAGCAAAACCAAGCCGAAUUAACUGUGCCUUUGCGUCCCAGCCGUUGCCUGUGGAGGAAGAGAAAGAGAGUGAGCACCCCGAGAACGAACUGUGUGAACCAGUACUUACCGUGAGUUGUAUUCAGCGAAGAGGAGGAAGAAGGAGGGCGCUACGGAUACCUAAGACUCUGGCCUGGCCCCGAGCCCCACGCCCCGGAUCCCCGUGGCCCCCUUGCUCCCUGACCUCUUCCCGGCCAUAGCCCAUCUGGAGGACCGAGUCAGAGUUUAGUUUUAAUUGCCCUUUCCCUAUUCCCCAAGCUAUUUUUAAAUAUUUAAAUAAAGAUUGUUUUAUCACUUA
Long non-coding RNA from Carassius gibelio (silver crucian carp), 2296 nucleotides. RefSeq lists it as uncharacterized. NCBI's taxonomy places the organism in Eukaryota, Metazoa, Chordata, Actinopteri, Cypriniformes, Cyprinidae. The transcript is spliced from 2 exons. The record is from RefSeq and is a predicted model, not a curated record.